UACGUAGGUGGCAAGCGUUGUUCGGAAUUAUUGGGCGUAAAGGGCGCGUAGGCGGCUUGUUAAGUCGGCUGUGAAAGCCCGGGGCUCAACCCCGGAGAGUCGGCCGAUACUGGCGAGCUAGAGUACGGAAGAGGUAGCUGGAAUUCCCGGUGUAGCGGUGAAAUGCUUAGAUAUGACAUAGAACACCAAUUGCGAAGGCAGCUGGCUACACGAAUAUUGACACUGAGGCACGAAAGCGUGGGGAUCAAACAGG
Molecule: ribosomal RNA, 253 nt
Filed under: uncultured prokaryote
Description: partial 16S ribosomal RNA
Rfam family: Bacterial small subunit ribosomal RNA
Source: RNAcentral